GAUGAACGCUGGCGGCGUGCUUAACACAUGCAAGUCGAACGAAGCACUUUAUUUGAUUUCCUUCGGGACUGAUUAUUUUGUGACUGAGUGGCGGACGGGUGAGUAACGCGUGGGUAACCUGCCUUGUACAGGGGGAUAACAGUUGGAAACGGCUGCUAAUACCGCAUAAGCGCACAGCAUCGCAUGAUGCAGUGUGAAAAACUCCGGUGGUAUAAGAUGGACCCGCGUUGGAUUAGCUAGUUGGUGAGGUAACGGCCCACCAAGGCGACGAUCCAUACCCGACCUGAGAGGGUGACCGGCCACAUUGGGGAUGAGACACGGCCCAAAAUCCUACGGGAGGCAGCAGUAGGGAAUAUUGCACAAUGGGCGAAAGCCUGAUGCAGCGACGCCGCGUGAGCGAAGAAGUAUUUCGGUAUGUAAAGCUCUAUCAGCAGGGAAGAUAAUGACGGUAACUGACUAAGAAGCACCGGCUAAAUACGUG
Molecule: ribosomal RNA, 481 nt
Filed under: uncultured bacterium
Lineage: Bacteria
Description: partial 16S ribosomal RNA
Rfam family: Bacterial small subunit ribosomal RNA
Source: RNAcentral